Long non-coding RNA from Centrocercus urophasianus (Greater sage-grouse), 975 nucleotides. RefSeq lists it as uncharacterized. The record is from RefSeq and is a predicted model, not a curated record. The transcript is spliced from 5 exons. NCBI's taxonomy places the organism in Eukaryota, Metazoa, Chordata, Aves, Galliformes, Phasianidae.
UGUUCCAUCCCUUGGAUCAUUUUUGUGGCCCUCCUCUGGAUGUGCUCCAACAGUUCCAUGUCUCUUCUGUACUGAGUACUCCAUAUCUGAACGCAGAACAGAUGUAUAACAAAGUACACUGUGGUUUGUUCAUGGAUUAAACAAUUCAGCAUUUUGGACGUAAUCUGGAAUUACAUUGCUGCUUUAGGUGGUGUUUUGAUGCUCAGAAGAUCACGGACUACUCAUUCUCUGCAUGGCUCACAGAGAUGGAAGAACUGGAGGAACAGAGAUGUGAAGCUGUCCGCUCAGAGCUAUAUAGGAGGCCAGUGACAAAUCCAGGAAUCCAAGCCAAAGCUCCUAAGUUGCAUUCUAAUUCUCUAAUCAGCACAGAAUUUGCCUUCUGGCAUUGUGAUGAGAUGACGCGCGCAGGCUCUGACUGAGAAAAUGGGGCUUCCCAGCAAGAAUACAGUGGUUGGAGGUUCAACAGUGUUGGGAGUCUGGAAAAAGAUGAACCCCCAGGCACAGCAGCAGUGGUUGUGGGAGAGGAGAAACAAACAUUCUCCUUGCAUCACUCAUGCCAGCAGUCUGAGCAGGAGGAAGGUAGAGGAACACUCCUACAGAGAACCAGGACUGGUUUGUCUCUUUAGAAGGGAGCAAUGAUAUUUUGAACAUUUUUACCAAAUCCCAGAGUGUGCAACAGCAUUUUAUGGACUGGGAAUUAUAUAACCGAAAAACUGUGAGAUGGGAAAGAAUUAUAGGAAGCCAUGGAGAGCUGCAACCUAAGCAUCCUGAAAUUGGUGACCAAGCCCCAAGGAUGCCUCUUGUUACUGCAGCCACUUUCAAUGACUGCUGUUUUUUUGUGUGAUUUACCAGCCCCAGUGAGCUCCCCAAGACAGAAUAGGUAAAGAUGGGCUUCAAGUUGAGCCAGGGGAGAUUUAGGUUGGAUAUCAGGAAACAUUUCUUUACAGAAAGGGUUGUUAAGCAAUGGAAUAGGCU